ACACUCCUACGGGAGGCAGCAGUGGGGAAUUUUGGACAAUGGGCGAAAGCCUGAUCCAGCAAUGCCGCGUGAGUGAAGAAGGCCUUCGGGUUGUAAAGCUCUUUUGUCAGGGAAGAAACGGUGAAAGCUAAUAUCUUUUGCUAAUGACGGUACCUGAAGAAUAAGCACCGGCUAACUACGUGCCAGCAGCCGCGGUAAUACGUAGGGUGCAAGCGUUAAUCGGAAUUACUGGGCGUAAAGCGUGCGCAGGCGGUUUUGUAAGUCUGAUGUGAAAUCCCCGGGCUCAACCUGGGAAUUGCAUUGGGGCCUGCAAGGCUAGAAUCUGGCAGAGGGGGGUAGAAUUCCACGUGUAGCAGUGAAAUGCGUAGAUAUGUGGAGGAACACCGAUGGCGAAGGCAGCCCCCUGGGUCAAGAUUGACGCUCAUGCACGAAAGCGUGGGGAGCAAACAGGAUUAGAAACCCUGGUAGUCCCAUGAU
RNAcentral lists this ribosomal RNA (477 nucleotides) under uncultured organism. Its description in RNAcentral is "partial 16S ribosomal RNA". It matches the Rfam family "Bacterial small subunit ribosomal RNA", at positions 333 to 801 of the family's 1533-position model. The record is from RNAcentral.